This 53-nucleotide non-coding RNA is filed under the name unclassified sequences. The record is from RNAcentral.
UCGGGCUUGAAACGCAGUCGCCCGGCUUCCCAAGGCAUCCGCCCAAGAACUGC